This 252-nucleotide ribosomal RNA is filed under the name uncultured bacterium. RNAcentral's name for it is "partial 16S ribosomal RNA". It matches the Rfam family "Bacterial small subunit ribosomal RNA", at positions 524 to 776 of the family's 1533-position model. The record is from RNAcentral.
UACGGAGGAUGCGAGCGUUAUCCGGAUUUAUUGGGUUUAAAGGGUGCGUAGGCGGAUCGUUAAGUCAGUGGUCAAAUUGAGGGGCUCAGCCCCUUCCCGCCAUUGAAACUGGCGCUCUUGAGUGGAAGAGAAGUAUGCGGAAUGCGUGGUGUAGCGGUGAAAUGCAUAGAUAUCACGCAGAACCCCGAUUGCGAAGGCAGCAUGCCGGCUUCCGACUGACGCUGAAGCACGAAAGCGUGGGGAUCGAACAGG